This 544-nucleotide ribosomal RNA is filed under the name uncultured bacterium. RNAcentral's name for it is "partial 16S ribosomal RNA". It matches the Rfam family "Bacterial small subunit ribosomal RNA", at positions 355 to 891 of the family's 1533-position model. The record is from RNAcentral.
UGGGGAAUUUUGGACAAUGGGCGAAAGCCUGAUCCAGCAAUGCCGCGUGUGUGAAGAAGGCCUUCGGGUUGUAAAGCACUUUUGUCCGGAAAGAAAUCCUUGGCUCUAAUACAGUCGGGGGAUGACGGUACCGGAAGAAUAAGCACCGGCUAACUACGUGCCAGCAGCCGCGGUAAUACGUAGGGUGCAAGCGUUAAUCGGAAUUACUGGGCGUAAAGCGUGCGCAGGCGGUUUGCUAAGACCGAUGUGAAAUCCCCGGGCUCAACCUGGGAACUGCAUUGGUGACUGGCAGGCUAGAGUAUGGCAGAGGGGGGUAGAAUUCCACGUGUAGCAGUGAAAUGCGUAGAGAUGUGGAGGAAUACCGAUGGCGAAGGCAGCCCCCUGGGCCAAUACUGACGCUCAUGCACGAAAGCGUGGGGAGCAAAACAGGAUUAGAUACCCUGGUAGUCCACGCCCUAAACGAUGUCAACUAGUUGUUGGGGAUUCAUUUCCUUAGUAACGUAGCUAACGCGUGAAGUUGACCGCCUGGGGAGUACGGUCGCAA